CUUUCCGAGAAAGCGCUCUGGCUCCAGAUUAGCUAUUUUCAUUUUUUUUAAAAGGAAAAAAAAUUAGAAUACUAAGAAGGAACUUUGCAUUCGAAAUUGAUAGAGAAGAAAUUGGUUAAAGAACCUGGGUUCGAAAG
RNAcentral lists this microRNA precursor (137 nucleotides) under Oryza sativa Japonica Group (Japanese rice). Its description in RNAcentral is "mir-166 microRNA precursor". The record is from RNAcentral. Lineage: Eukaryota; Viridiplantae; Streptophyta; Magnoliopsida; Poales; Poaceae.